This 506-nucleotide ribosomal RNA is filed under the name uncultured bacterium. RNAcentral's name for it is "partial 16S ribosomal RNA". It matches the Rfam family "Bacterial small subunit ribosomal RNA", at positions 28 to 523 of the family's 1533-position model. The record is from RNAcentral.
GAUGAACGCUAGCUACAGGCUUAACACAUGCAAGUCGAGGGGUAACGAGAGGAAAGCUUGCUUUCCUUGUCGACGACCGGCGCACGGGUGAGUAACGCGUAUCCAACCUGCCCCCAACUAGGGAAUAACCUUGCGAAAGUAAGACUAAUACCCUAUAAUUUCCUCAGAUGUCAUCUGACGAGGAAUAAAGAUUUAUCGGUUGUGGAUGGGGAUGCGUCUGAUUAGCUUGUUGGCGGGGUAACGGCCCACCAAGGCAACGAUCAGUAGGGGUUCUGAGAGGAAGGUCCCCCGCAUUGGAACUGGGACACGGUCCAAACUCCUACGGGAGGCAGCGGUGAUGAAUAUUGGUCGAUGGGCGGAAGCCUGAACCAGCCAAGUAGCGUGCAGGAUGACGGCCCUAUGGGUUGUAAACUGCUUUUAUACAGGAAUAAAGUUAGCCACGUGUGGUUAUUUGUAGGUACCGUAUGAAUAAGGACCGGCUAAUUCCGUGCCAGCCGCCGCCGUAA